GCAUAAUCACUUGCCCAUUAAUUGUGGGCUAGAAUGAAUGGAAAAACGAAGUAAUAGCUGUCUCUAGUAAUUAUAUAAAAACUAAUAUUCCAGUGAAGAAGCUGAAAUAAAAUCACAGGACAAGAAGACCCUAUAGAGCUUUAUUUUUAACACAUAAAAUACUAAUGUGGAAAAAUUCAGUUGGGGCGACUAAGGAAAAAAUCAUCCUAAAAUACGUAGACAACAAGUCAAAUCAAAGAUCCUAAAAUUAGAUCAAAGAAACUAGCUACCUUAGGGAUAACAGGCUAAUCCUCCUGGAAAGUCCAAAUUUAUAGGAGGGU
This 320-nucleotide ribosomal RNA is filed under the name Nais elinguis. RNAcentral's name for it is "partial 16S ribosomal RNA". It matches the Rfam family "Bacterial large subunit ribosomal RNA", at positions 1959 to 2517 of the family's 2925-position model. Lineage: Eukaryota; Metazoa; Annelida; Clitellata; Tubificida; Naididae. The record is from RNAcentral.